GAAAACGUUGGCUGUACCGAACAAAAUGAAGCCUACCGAACACUAAUCUGUCCGUCGCGAUCCCCUCUCCGCCGAUUCAAGUCUCUCGGCGCUGUCGCCGGCGCCGCCGUUCUCUCCCAGCCCCGGCGCUCCUCCCUUCCUCCUUCUCCUCUUACAUCCACCCCAAUUCCACUCGCUCCCGAGCCCCCGCAACAGUGCGACCGGCGGCGCCCACAACUUGCCGACGAGGAGAUGCGGCGCCCCAAGAACCACGCCAACGCGGCAGCUUGUUCGACGGCGCGCGCGUGCACCUGUAGGAAGGUGCGCGGCGCUCCGUCGAACUCGCUGCUCGCGGUCGACGGGCUGGUGCUGCACGUCGGCGAGGUGGACGCGGCGGCGCAGCUCCGGGGAGUUUUCUCCGGUCGGUUCCCUCGCCGUGCCCCUGGCCGCACCUUUCCCCCUCCCGUCCAUGCGGGUGCGGCGCCCUCGGCCAGGAUGUGGCUACCUUCCGCCACCCACCCACUCCACUCCCGAUGACCAACCGUGCUGCCUUCGCCUCGCCCCGCCCUGCUCUCGUACAUCGCCGUCCGGAGCUGCAGGAGGGGCAGUGAGGCGUUGGAGCAGUAGGCCCGUCGGGCAGGCCGGACCUCCUCGUCCAAAGUUUGAAUUUUCUUGCUUUGUUCUGCAGCAUUGGCUUCCAAAUAGAUAGAAUCGAAAAAAAUCUGUACGAGACGCUUUCCAAAUUAUGCAGAGUCCAACUUGUUGUGCAGCGAUUGUUAGUUUGGUUAAUUAUUUGGGAUGUGCUUUGUUGAGCACUGCGUAAUAUUUCUGAUGCAUGGUACCAGUUCAGAAUUUCAGUGCCUUACCAUCACUUGUGUGUCAACUCAAAUCGAUUCCUUGUGAAUGUAUCUACAUGGUUGUUCAAGGAGGAGUGCUUGUUGUCCUAGAUAUUACCUACAUUAGUAUUUGUUCUUCACUGAUAUAGGGCAGCAUAGUACGUCUACUGGGAGUGUUUGCUCUGCGAUAAUGUGGUACAUCUAAUAGCAUUUUAACAUGAUGCCACCAAUUUCGGUCGAAGAAUAUGCGAGAAGCAAGCAAUCUGAUUUGUGAUGAUCUGGUUUAUGAAUUUGAUCUAGUCGCUUUUGUGUGCUUCAGAUUAGUAAUAUUAGUCAUGUAAUCUUUGUGCUAGCAAACUGUUGGUAUCUGCACCUAAGUAGUUAACUAAAUCCAAGUGUUUAAUACUAGUUUCCUGACCGGUUGCUGUAAUUAGUUACUAGCUGAAAUAGUUUUUAUGUAGGUGGACAGUGUAGUUCUAUCAGCUGCUAGUGUUCUAGCUUUAGUAUGAAAGGAGGUAGCAUUUGUAGCUAGAUAAUUUUAUCAUGUUACAGAGUUCACUUGUGCUAUUUGAUAUCCUAUCUUUCUUGAGCAGCCGGAGGAGUGGACGGGUUGGACAAGUCGGUGAACAAGUUUCCGGAGCACUAUGCCUGCCAGUCCAGCACCUUCUUUUGCUCUGUGCUGGACCUCGCCGACAUCGAUAGUCAAAGGUGCCUAUUUUGGGCUUUGCGUUUGUGACCGGACAUGUUAAUACGAGUGUCCAGGUUAUGUCGAUGGCUGGCCGGAUGUGCUCGCCUCCGGCUUCUGAGCUUCGUUCUGCGGCGGUAUAUGCCUUUAAUUUGGAGUAAGUGUUUGUUGUAGAAUCCGGGUGAGCUAGAGAAGCUUGCUGUAAUUGUACGUUUGCAUUUGUUCUUAGAUGAACUUAAUUGUGGUGGAGUGUAUCAUGUAUUGAAAUAUCUCUAGAGUGUUGCUGCUUUAUGCAUUUAAUUAUAUUUUGUGGUGUUUGAUCCUGAAACUUUGUAAGUAUAAUUGAAAAAUGCUAGGUUGCUCAUGUGACGGGUAAAAGAA
Molecule: long non-coding RNA, 1881 nt
Organism: Lolium perenne
Lineage: Eukaryota; Viridiplantae; Streptophyta; Magnoliopsida; Poales; Poaceae
Source: RefSeq, a predicted model, not a curated record